RNAcentral lists this long non-coding RNA (593 nucleotides) under Miscanthus lutarioriparius. RNAcentral's name for it is "MluLR6328". Lineage: Eukaryota; Viridiplantae; Streptophyta; Magnoliopsida; Poales; Poaceae. The record is from RNAcentral.
UGACUCUUGCCCGAGGAAGGAAUAUUUGCUGUUUGUAAAACUGAGCUAUCUAUCCAUGCCCUGUAGAGAACACAGAUGUCCAGGUAACAAUUUCUUAGUGUUAAUAACAAAUAUGUGUCAGUAAGGUAACAUCUUUUUUCUUCAGUUUGUCAACCCUGUAAUCUCACCCCCAGUUUUUGUUACUCACUAAAUCAAAUGUAAAGUUGACAGUGUCAAACAAAUGCUUUUCAAUUACGUUUUUACCCGGUCCCACAAUUGGAGGUUCACUAGAGGAUAUUUAACAGGGUGUUUUAAGAGAUACAUAAAAUAAAAUUUAAAUUUAAACCACACUCAGUGUGUUAUAAUUCUAAAAUUCUUUAUUUUUCUAAACAGAGGGUGAAUGACCGUUAGUUCUGAAAGAGGCCAACUUUAUUCAACUCGGGAGAAAGGUACAAGAUCUGCACAGAUAUUAUGACUAAUAGAAGCGAAAGAGCAUUUGAUUUCAUCGAGUGUGCUGUCAUAUUUAUUUAUAUAGUAAUAAAACAUCAACAUCUACCUCAUCGAAGAAGUUGAUGAUGACACUGUUUGGUUUCCUGCUUUCUGGUAUUAAACGC